UGCGAUGUGUGCUUUGGAUACUGUACCAGAA
Molecule: non-coding RNA, 31 nt
Filed under: Mus musculus (house mouse)
Lineage: Eukaryota; Metazoa; Chordata; Mammalia; Rodentia; Muridae
Source: RNAcentral